CACCUGUUUAUCAAAAACAUGGUUUUAUGUGAUAUAAUAUAAGAUUAAUUCUGCUCCAUGAUAAUAAAAUUAAAUAGCCGCAGUAUAUUGACUGUGCAAAGGUAGCAUAAUCAGUUGUUUCUUAAUUAGGAACUGGUAUAAAGGAAUAAAUGAAAUUUAAACUGUCUUUAAUAUAAAUUUAAAAAUUUAAAUUUUUAGUAAAAAUGCUAAGAUGUGAUUAUGGGACGAGAAGACCCUAUAGAAUUUUAUAUAGGACUAAAUAAUGUAUAAUUAAAUUUAGGUUUAUAUUUAGUUGGGAGGAUUCUUAAAUUUAAAUAACUUUAAGAUUAAAAAAACAUUAAUUUAUGGUUUAUGUUAUAAUGAAUAAAAUUUAGAAUUUUAUGGUAAAAUUAAUUACCUUAGGGAUAACAGCGUAAUAUUUUUAAAAAGAUCUUAUUGAUAAAAAUGAUUGCGACCUCGAUGUUGAAUUAAAAUAAAAAUUAAAUGGAGAAGUUUAAUAUUUUAGUCUGUUCGACUAUUAAAAUUUUACAUGAUUUGAGUUCAAAUCGACG
RNAcentral lists this ribosomal RNA (551 nucleotides) under Camponotus herculeanus. Its description in RNAcentral is "partial 16S ribosmal RNA". It matches the Rfam family "Archaeal large subunit ribosomal RNA", at positions 1889 to 2690 of the family's 2987-position model. Lineage: Eukaryota; Metazoa; Arthropoda; Insecta; Hymenoptera; Formicidae. The record is from RNAcentral.